CCUACGGGUGGCAGCAGUGGGGAAUAUUGCACAAUGGGCGCAAGCCUGAUGCAGCCAUGCCGCGUGUGUGAAGAAGGCCUUCGGGUUGUAAAGCACUUUCAGCGGGGAGGAAGGCGGUGAGGUUAAUAACCUCAUCGAUUGACGUUACCCGCAGAAGAAGCACCGGCUAACUCCGUGCCAGCAGCCGCGGUAAUACGGAGGGUGCAAGCGUUAAUCGGAAUUACUGGGCGUAAAGCGCACGCAGGCGGUCUGUCAAGUCGGAUGUGAAAUCCCGGGGCUCAACCUGGGAACUGCAUUCGAAACUGGCAGGCUAGAGUCUUGUAGAGGGGGGUAGAAUUCCAGGUGUAGCGGUGAAAUGCGUAGAGAUCUGGAGGAAUACCGGUGGCGAAGGCGGCCCCCUGGACAAAGACUGACGCUCAGGUGCGAAAGCGUGGGGAGCAAACAGGAUUAGAUACCCCUGUAGUC
This 465-nucleotide ribosomal RNA is filed under the name uncultured Klebsiella sp. RNAcentral describes it as "bacterial SSU rRNA". It matches the Rfam family "Bacterial small subunit ribosomal RNA", at positions 338 to 795 of the family's 1533-position model. Lineage: Bacteria; Pseudomonadati; Pseudomonadota; Gammaproteobacteria; Enterobacterales; Enterobacteriaceae. The record is from RNAcentral.